CCUACGGGAGGCAGCAGUGAGGAAUAUUGGUCAAUGGGCGCGAGCCUGAACCAGCCAAGUAGCGUGAGGGAUGACUGCACUGCGGGUUGUAAACUUCUUUUAUCAAGGAAUAAAGUGAGGCACGUGUCCCUUUUUGUAUGUACUUGAUGAAUAAGGAUCGGCUAACUCCGUGCCAGCAGCCGCGGUAAUACGGAGGAUCCGAGCGUUAUCCGGAUUUAUUGGGUUUAAAGGGAGCGUAGAUGGGUUGUUAAGUCAGUUGUGAAAGUUUGCGGCUCAACCGUAAGAUUGCAAUUGAUACUGGCAGUCUUGAGUACAGUUGAGGUAGGCGGAAUGCGUGGGGUAGCGGUGAAAUGCUUAGAUAUCACGAAGAACUCCGAUUGCGAAGGCAGCUUACUAGACUGCCACUGACAUUGAUGCACGAAAGUGUGGGUAUCGAACAGGAUUAGAUACCCCGGUAGUC
This 460-nucleotide ribosomal RNA is filed under the name uncultured bacterium. RNAcentral's name for it is "partial 16S ribosomal RNA". It matches the Rfam family "Bacterial small subunit ribosomal RNA", at positions 338 to 795 of the family's 1533-position model. The record is from RNAcentral.